CCUACGGGAGGCAGCAGUGGGGAAUCUUGCACAAUGGAGGAAACUCUGAUGCAGCGAUGCCGCGUGAGUGAAGAAGGCCUUUGGGUUGUAAAGCUCUUUUGUAGGGGAAGAUAAUGACUGUACCCUAAGAAUAAGGUCCGGCUAACUUCGUGCCAGCAGCCGCGGUAAUACGAAGGGACCUAGCGUAGUUCGGAAUUACUGGGCGUAAAGCGCGCGUAGGCCGUUGAGUUAGUUAAUUGUGAAAUCCCAAAGCUUAACUUUGGAACUGCAAUUAAAACUGCUCGACUAGAGUUUGAUAGAGGAAAGCGGAAUACAUAGUGUAGAGGUGAAAUUCGUAGAUAUUAUGUAGAACACCAGUUGCGAAGGCGGCUUUCUGGAUCAACACUGACGCUGAGGCGCGAAAGUAUGGGUAGCAAAGAGGAUUAGAUACCCUCGUAGUCCAUACCAUAAACGAUGAUUGCUGGAUGUUGGAAAUUUAUUUUCAGUAUCGCANCUACNCAUANANAUCNCUGGNGACGACGCAGUAACGUAAGAAUAGAGNGNGAGAGNGCGAGACGACGACGAGGAGAG
RNAcentral lists this ribosomal RNA (570 nucleotides) under uncultured bacterium. Its description in RNAcentral is "bacterial SSU rRNA". The stretch from base 1 to 511 matches the Rfam family "Bacterial small subunit ribosomal RNA", at positions 338 to 873 of the family's 1533-position model. The record is from RNAcentral.